GAUGAACGCUAGCUACAGGCUUAACACAUGCAAGUCGAGGGGAAACGACAUCGAAAGCUUGCUUUUGAUGGGCGUCGACCGGCGCACGGGUGAGUAACGCGUAUCCAACCUGCCCAUCACUUGGGGAUAACCUUGCGAAAGUAAGACUAAUACCCAAUGAUAUCUCUAGAAGACAUCUGAAAGAGAUUAAAGAUUUAUCGGUGAUGGAUGGGGAUGCGUCUGAUUAGCUUGUUGGCGGGGUAACGGCCCACCAAGGCAACGAUCAGUAGGGGUUCUGAGAGGAAGGUCCCCCACAUUGGAACUGAGACACGGUCCAAACUCCGACGGGAGGCAGCAGUGAGGAAUAUUGGUCAAUGGGCGAGAGCCUGAACCAGCCAAGUAGCGUGCAGGAAGACGGCCCUAUGGGUUGUAAACUGCUUUUAUAAGGGAAUAAAGUGAGAGUCGUGACUCUUUUUGUAUGUACCUUAUGAAUAAGGACCGGCUAAUUCCG
Molecule: ribosomal RNA, 490 nt
Filed under: uncultured bacterium
Lineage: Bacteria
Description: partial 16S ribosomal RNA
Rfam family: Bacterial small subunit ribosomal RNA
Source: RNAcentral